RNAcentral lists this ribosomal RNA (506 nucleotides) under uncultured bacterium. Its description in RNAcentral is "partial 16S ribosomal RNA". It matches the Rfam family "Bacterial small subunit ribosomal RNA", at positions 30 to 523 of the family's 1533-position model. The record is from RNAcentral.
AUUGAACGCUGGCGGCAGGCCUAACACAUGCAAGUCGAACGGUAACAGGAAACAGCUUGCUGCUUCGCUGACGAGUGGCGGACGGGUGAGUGAUGUCUGGGAACAUGCCUGAUGGCGGGGGAUUACUACUGGAAACGGUAGCUAAUACCGCAUAACGUCGCAAGACCAAAGAGGGGGACCUUCGGGCCUCUUGCCAUCGCGAGUGCCCGGAUGGGAGUAGGUUGUUGGGUGGGUAAGGGCUCACCAAGGCGACGCUCCCUGCCUGGUCUGAGAGGAUGACCAGGCACACUGGAACUGAGGCAAGGACCAGACUCCUGCGGGAGGCAGCAGGGGGGAAUAUUGCACAAUGGGCGCAAGCCUGAUGCAGCCAUGCCGCGUGUAUGAAGAAGGCCUUCGGGUUGUAAAGUACUUUCAGCGGGGAGGAAGGGAGUAAAGUUAAUACCUUUGCUCAUUGACGUUACCCGCAGAAGAAGCACCGGCUAACUCCGUGCCAGCAGCCGCCGUAA